Molecule: long non-coding RNA, 433 nt
Filed under: Salvia miltiorrhiza (redroot sage)
Lineage: Eukaryota; Viridiplantae; Streptophyta; Magnoliopsida; Lamiales; Lamiaceae
Description: long non-coding RNA (SMIL_LNC014163)
Source: RNAcentral
GGGAUGAGAGUCGAGGGUUCCGGAGGGGCUGCGCUCUCGCCGGUGACAGAGGCGGCGCUUCGCCGAAGAAGAAGGGAGUGACGCCUGUAUCGGGCUUGUGUCUGUGUGCGUGUUUCAUUUUGGGGAGGAAAGAGAGAUCCGAUUGAAAAAAAAAGGGGGAGGCGCGGCUGUUGAGGGAGAAAAAGGGGGGUGAAGUGUUAGGUUUGGGCUUGGGGUGUUGGGCCGAGAGUUGGGCUGGGUUAUUUCUUUAUGUUGGGCUGAAUUUCUAUUUUUAACUGGAUGGGCUGAUUUUUAUUUAGUAACUUGGGCUCAGUUUAUUUAAUUAAAACAGCUGGGCCUUGUUACUUGGAUUGUGCAGAUUUUUUUUUAUAAAAUGGACUGCAUUAUUUUAUUAAAUGGACUAUACUUAUAUUAAUUAAUUGAACUAUUAAAU